RNAcentral lists this long non-coding RNA (416 nucleotides) under Triticum aestivum (bread wheat). RNAcentral's name for it is "long non-coding RNA (TAES_LNC021454)". Lineage: Eukaryota; Viridiplantae; Streptophyta; Magnoliopsida; Poales; Poaceae. The record is from RNAcentral.
CCAAGCAUCACCCCCAAGGAUUCUUCCGAGGAGAGCUUGAGGCAGGAAGCAGCGGCAGCACACAAGAGGAAGAGCAUCUCGGACCUGGAGGAGUUCGAGAUGGGGUCGAGCUCCAGGAUGAGGCUCUCAGACGUCUCGGACGUGCAGCUGUGCGGCUCACCGUUGAUGAGCUUCACCUGAAAGAAAGGAGGGACCGAAUUGCAGGGGCUGAGUUGAUGUCAUUGCCGGUUAUGACUUGUGGGUUUAUCUUGUGUUGUUUCGUUUGUUGUUUGGUGUCAUAAUGUGUGUGCUCUUGUGGAGCUGGAGUUGAACCUGCCUUUGACUGUGAUCGAUCUGCCACAGCAUUUGUGGCCUUCUGCAACAUGUUAUUAUUGAAUAGCCUCUUUUAUGUAGUCACUGGUGUUCCUUGCUCUGCC